RNAcentral lists this ribosomal RNA (507 nucleotides) under uncultured bacterium. RNAcentral's name for it is "bacterial SSU rRNA". It matches the Rfam family "Bacterial small subunit ribosomal RNA", at positions 8 to 526 of the family's 1533-position model. The record is from RNAcentral.
AGAGUUUGAUCAUGGCUCAGGACGAACGCUGGCGGCGUGCUUAACACAUGCAAGUCGAACGAUGACGGUGGUGCUUGCACCGCCUGAUUAGUGGCGAACGGGUGAGUAACACGUGAGUAACCUGCCCUCCACUUCGGGAUAACCUCGGGAAAUCGUGGCUAAUACCGGAUAUGAGCACUCAUCGCAUGGUGGGUGUUGGAAAGAUUUAUCGGUGGGGGAUGGACUCGCGGCCUAUCAGUUUGUUGGUGAGGUGAUGGCUCACCAAGACGAUGACGGGUAGCCGGCCUGAGAGGGCGACCGGCCACACUGGGACUGAGACACGGCCCAGACUCCUACGGGAGGCAGCAGUGGGGAAUAUUGCACAAUGGGCGAAAGCCUGAUGCAGCGACGCCGCGUGGGGGAUGACGGCCUUCGGGUUGUAAACCCCUUUCAGUAGGGAAGAAGCGAGAGUGACGGUACCUGCAGAAGAAGCGCCGGCUAACUACGUGCCAGCAGCCGCGGUAAUAC